GUUUUAAAAAAAAAUGUUAUUUAAAAUCGCACAAUAUUUUGAAGUCAAAUUGAAACAAUUUGUUCAGCGACAUCUAGUUUCUAUCUCUUCCCCCUUCAACUGUUUCCUCCCACCCCUGGUAGGUAGUCAUUCUUGUUUUUGCUUCAUCUUCCCAUUAAAAAACAUCUGUUCAUAUUCAAGCUCUUUCUUAGGUAAAUGGCAGCAAAAUAGACACAUUUUUUUUUUCUCCACCUUGCUGUUUUCUUUAAUAAUACAUCGUGGCGAUCACUGCAUAGCCGAGUGUAAGACUGCACCUUGCUUGGACAGCUGUCUCACGGAUGGGAUACAAGGUACAGUAUUAAUUUCACCAAGCUCCUUCUAAUGCCCCGGUAGUGGCGAUCCCCAGUCUUGUGCCAUUGUGACUGAUGGUGCAGUGAAUAGCCUCGUGCACCCUUCCUUUGUCUUUCUGCCAGUGUAUGUUGGGGAUAGAUGUUUAGGAGUGGGAUUUUGAGUCAGUGGAUAAAUGCAUACGGACUUCUGCCAGAUACUGCCAAAUUCCCCUCUGUAGGAGCUGGGCCCUUUUGCAUGCUCACCAGUAACGUCCGAGAGGCCUGUUUCCCCACAACCUACAACAAGAGGUUGUCCAAACUUCGGGAAGGGUUUGCCAACCGCGGAUAGGAGCGGAAGCCCCUGAGCUGGACUUUGCUCCCACCCGACAAUAUGCUCUGUCCAUAGCAGCCAAGGAGCUCUCUUUAUAAUGUUCCUGAUAUCAUGUCACUUCCUUGCCUUAAACCCUGAGGGCUUCCAGUUUCAGCAUCCAACCCUCUCACCCUGGCUGUAGAGUCCUACAUGAUCUAGCAUCUGUCUCUACUUGUGACCUCUUCUUGUUACUCCUUCCCCCUGGUCCUGUUCGUCCUGGCCAUUUCUCUGCUCUUCCCUCUGCAAGCACUGAGGCCAUUCCUUUCGUAGGGCCUUGGCAUGCACUUUGCUCUGCUUGGGACUCCCUCCCCACUUGACACAGCUGCAGCUUCUCCAUGUUCAUAAACCAGCACCUGUGCUCGAAGAAGCCUUGCCUGCCUGACCAUUGUGGGUAUUACUCUAAUCAUUUGUCACCGCCUCAUCCUAUUUGUUUUUCGUACUGAGUUGUUGGGGGGAUGGAUGGAUUGAUUAUAAGCUCCUUGAGAGAAGAGCCUUCCUCUGACUUUUCAUCCCGGGAUCCCUGGUGCCUCGUACAUAACAGGUGCUCGAUACAUGUUAGUUCAGUGGAUGAAUGAAAGAACAGCAGGUAUCUCGCCUGGGAGAGGAUCCUCAUGCUCAUUCCCAGUGUCCCCCUGGAGAGGGCGCUGUCGAGGAAGGCUCCCCGUUUGGAUUAAUCUCUGCAGCCGUCAUCCCUCUCUGCCUGGAAUUUAACAGGGGCUCACCGAGGGCAAAUCCAAAAUUUGUGCAGCCUCAAGCUUCCACAGUUUGAAGGAUGACAUCUCUAAGUAAAAGAAUAGAGAGUUACAAAUAUCAAAUUAGCUAGAAGGCUUUGGAAAAGACCCAUCUGAGAGAGAGCCCCUGAAGCUUAAGGCAGGUUACUUUCAGGGAAACCCAUCUCUAGUGCUCAUUAAAUGCCUGUUGAAUGAGUAAAUGAGUCAAGGGUAGAUUUUUAAAUGCCUGAUUUUUACUGAUUUCAUUUUCAGGGGGUAGAAGCACAAAGAAAACUGUAGCAGCAGGACAAAAUGACCUGCUUUACUUGAUUCUUGCACAUAAUUAGGAUAUUUUUUAUCUUUCCAGUUUAAGGCUGCUUUCGACCUCAGGUUCGUACCCAACAGGGAAGAAAAUAAUCAGGCAUUGUGGCAUUUUGCUGAGGCCACUCUGUUAGGCAGCUGUUAGUCUGGCCUUUCUGCCUGCCAUUCUCCUUCCUUUUGUUAACAGCAAAUCCAUUUCCUUUUGGAGAAUCAUCCUGUGCCUCUUAAUCCUUGUGGCUCAGGUGGGGCAGAUCCGGGUUCCAGAUAAAGAGGUGCACCUCCAAAUGUAAAGCAACCCAUUAAUUAUUAAUCACCACAAGCCUUUGAAGGAAGUACAAUUAUUAUCACCAUUUUAUAGGUGGAAAAAUGGAGGCACAGAGGGGUUAAGACUGUUGUUGUCCAAGGGACCCAGCGGGUCAGUGAUGGAGCAGGGAUUUGAACCCAGGCAGUGUGGCUCUUGAACACCACUUGGGUUACAUCUCAAUUCGUCCAGGCAAGAGAGGAGAGAGUCGAGCCAUUGCCUGGGGUCUCGAUCCCAAGCCUUCAAACUACAGCAGAGGAUUUCUCUUUUCACAGGAACUGCUAGGUUCACGUGGAAGCCGGAAGCAUCCAGGGCCAUGGUGGAGAGCCUGAGGGGGUUGUGCUCAGAUGGGAGGGGGACGGGCACCCUCUGGGGGAGACGUCUUCUGCUUCCGCGGCUGCCCAUUCUCAGCCUACGCGUGAAGAUCUACCGCUGGGCUUCCCACACGCGCGGACCAAGACGUUCAUUCCCUUUAUUGCUGAAGGGAGUCUGAGUUGGGUUUUCCAUUUUGUGCCACUAGAAACAGUGCAUCUUGGUUUCUGACCUCAGUGACUUUCCACAGAAGGACUUGAGGAGGCGUUCCCUUUGGGAUCCUGGAAGGGAAUGAUGCCCCCCCCGACUCCCGGGGAACCAUCUUCUUGCCAACAGCAUGGUGUUUGGGGAGUAUGGCCGGUGGAGGCAAAUGGCGCAGGAAUUGGUUCAUAUGAUGGCAGAGGCUGACAAAUCCCAAAUCCGAAGGGCAGGCCAGCAGGCUGGAAGCUCCGGCAGAGUUUUUAUGUUGCAGGUUCGAGGCAGAAUUUCUUCUCUGGGAAGCCUCAGCUUUUGCACCCAGGGCCUUCAACUGAUUAGAUGAGGCCCACCCGCAGGCUGGAGGGUAAUCUUUACCUAACGUCAACGUUAAUCACACCUACACGCUAUCUUCACAGCAACAUCUAGAAUAGCGUUUGACCCAAAGAACCAGGCACCACAGCUUAGUCGAGUCAACACACAAAAUUAACCAUCAUAUUUGCUAGUGCAGUUUCUGUGGACCUCCGUUUCCCCAUCUGUUAACUGGAGAACAGACCCUUCUUGAUCUUCAAGCUGGUCCUCUGUGAAACGGGACUGAUGGACUGGGAGAGCCUGGAGGGAGUGGCUGGAUUUCCCAAGGGUGUCUGCAUCCCCUAAGUGGGGCCUCAACUUGCUCUGACCUGGGAAAGAGAUGAGGAAACAGAGGCACAGAAAGUUUCUGACAAUCACCUAGCUUGCACAAAUAAGACGUGAUGAAGCAGAGACUCUCACUCAGGCAGCCUUGCUCCGGGACUGGUGCUCUGAACCCCGGGAGAAGGGCAUGGCCCACUGUGUAGAUUCAGCAGGUGAAAUGUGCUCUGCAGCUCUGCUUCCUUUUUUUUUUUUUUUUUUUUUCACGCUUGGGGAAUGUUCUGGAGUGUGGCUGUACCGUAGCUGAUACAUCUUGUUUCCCACUGAUGGACAUGCAGCAGAGUGUGUUUCCCAGCUGGGAGCAUAAGAGGAAGCAGGAAGGUGUGAAGCAUGAAGAGGUUGGGGUAUGCCGUGCUGGUGUGAAGAUGGAGGGUCCACGUCAAGACGAAAACAAGUGGCCUCUCGAAGCUGAGAGCACCCCGCAGCGGACAGCCAGCAAGGAAUUGGGGACCGCGUUCUGCCGGUAACAGGAAUGAGUGUGGAUCUGAGGAUCCUGAGCUCCGGAAAAGAACACAGCAGCCCAGAGACCCCCCGAUUUCAGUCUCAGCAGGGUCUCCAGCUGCACCAGGCUGAAGCUCUGACCUAGGGAGCUGGGAGCUGAUAGGCAUGGGGUCAGCGUUGAGGGUCAGGGACCAGGAAGAAUAUUAAAAGUCACAUGGAAGACUAAUGCACUAACGUGGAAAUAAACUCAGACAGGAAACCCCUCAAUCUCUAUCCGGGAGGUCACCCAACAGUCAACGGCUGCCCGGUGGCUUCCUGUGGAGCUCUCAGUGCCCAGUUUCAACGUCGGCAGUAAUGAUGUUUUGGACUCUGUUGCGGGGCCGUCCUGCGCUCUGCGGGUGCUUAGCAACCCCCCUAGCCUCUGCCCACCAGAUGCCAGGAGCAACCCCCCCACGCCAGACGGGGUAACCAGAAGCGUCUCUAGACAUCCUAAAGGAACCCCUAAAAUUCCCCGGAAGAUGCUAUGAGCCCAGCUGAGAACCACUGGGUCAUGACUCCAAUAAUCAGCUGUGCUCCCAGAUCUCAGCUGGGCGACAGCCACCUGUAAAUAAGGUAAAAGCUGGGAACGGUGAGCCUGUCCUUCCACCUAUAUAGUAAACCAAUAAUUUAGAAUUUUUGAGGCUUGGCCUAGGGGUUGCAGAGAUUCUUCCCGUGCCCUAUCCAAGAUCUUAGGUAUGAACUUGGACCUUUGGGGACAAGGACAAAGGCUAUGAGCUGUGGACUGAGGUAAUGUCUCCUUUGUGUUCUCAGGGGAGUAGGGACUGGGUGGUGUUGGGAAGGGGAGAUGGAGGAUGUUUCUGGGAUUUGGGAGACUGCCUUCUGGUUUGGGGUCAGGCUGACACCCCAGGCACAGGCUUGUCGUCUGGCCAACAAAACCUCUGUCUUCCCUUCUCUUCCUUACUGAAUAAUUCAGCCCUGUGGGCCCGCCUUGGGUCAGACCCUCCUAAGACCUCUCUGACACACUUGUCCUCUCACGCCAGCUUAUGGUCCUUUCUGUGGUUUUCCCCGAUCCCAUGCGCUUACCCCAUCACAACCCUUAACGACCACAUGGCCACGGCCUCUGCUAUCUUGUAUUCCCAGGGCCUAGCAAGAGGACCUGAUACAGAGGCCUCUUUACUCCCUGUGGUUUGCUGAUGGACUGACAGGGGCUAAGCCCCCAGCCAGGCAUGGUGGCGAUCAGACAAGACUAUAUCUACUGGGGGAGGUGGGCACACAGAUCAUUUCCAGCCAUGAAAAGGGCCAUGAGGGGUGUCGAGAAUGGGGACAUCUAGUCUGCUGGUCAGGGUUGUGCUGUGUUUCCUGUAGGGUGACCAGUCAUCCUGGUUCACCCAGGACCGAGGGGUUUCUUGGGACACGGAACAUCAAAGUUAAAACGGGCAAAGUCCUAGACAAAUCAGGAUGAGAGGCUUAUUCUAGUGCCUGCACCUGCCUGGAAGAUUUACUCGCUAGCACGCAGUUUUAAAUCCUGGAACAACGCGACAAGUCAGUGCCAGAGUCAAACCCCAUUUGACAGGUGAGAACCAGGCCCCAAAGGUGAGUAGGGGCAGGGUGGGAACUGGAACCCCAGAAACUGGGGGCCGGGCUGAUUUGCUGUAUGGAUUCCCAGGGACUAAACAAAGGCAGUGCUCAUUUUAGGGGUUCCUUUCCAUGCGGGGGUCCUGAGUGUAUCUCCAUCCAUCUCCUGGAAUCUCUAGAAGAAUCUGAGGGUCUGGGUGGCCCCCAGGCCAGGGAAUGGAACCACUGGCUCAAAGGAUGUCAGAUUUAUCUUUGGAUGCCCUCUCAGCCUUGAGUAGCAGAAUGCAUCAAUACCAUACCUGCUUUACCACAGAGGAAACAGACCCGGAGAGGUUCAUCUGCUUACUCAGGGUCACACAGUGAGUUGGCAGCAGAGUGUGGAUGAACUCAGGACUCUCAACUCCUGAAUCCAUUGCUUUGUUUGGGUUCUGGGUUAACGUGCAGACUCUAGAAUUCAAAUCAUGGCUCUCUGCUAGUUACCAGCUCUGUGACCUUGGUUAAGUCAUUGAACUUUUCCAAGCCUUGAUUUCCUCAGCUGUAAAAUGGGUGUAAUUUGUACAUAUCCUCUUAGGGUUUGAGGCAUCAGUGAGAUGGUCCAUGUAAAGAGAGCUCUUAAUAGCACAGGGUAAAGCUCCCAAGGACACAGUAGCUGCCACCUCUAACCCCCCCCCCCGAAAUACAUUUUCCU
Callorhinus ursinus (northern fur seal) is the source of this 5911-nucleotide non-coding RNA. The record is from RefSeq and is a predicted model, not a curated record. NCBI's taxonomy places the organism in Eukaryota, Metazoa, Chordata, Mammalia, Carnivora, Otariidae.